Trematomus bernacchii (emerald rockcod) is the source of this 479-nucleotide long non-coding RNA. RefSeq lists it as uncharacterized. The transcript has 3 exons. Lineage: Eukaryota; Metazoa; Chordata; Actinopteri; Perciformes; Nototheniidae. The record is from RefSeq and is a predicted model, not a curated record.
GAGCAGGAGAAGAUUCGAGUACACAACCUAGUACAUCACAGCAGGACCCCGGUAAACACCACCGCUCCAGUACAGUCGGAUGCCAAACAGACCGUACAAAGACUGUUUCUGUGGGAACUCUACAGAGGGCUGACACACGGUCUGUGGGAACUCUACAGAGGGCUGAGACACGGUCUGUGGGAACACAGACAGUGGAAUUGAAAGUGUCAGUUGCUACACAGUUGUCCCGUGGAACACUGAAGUCGGCACACGUGAGGAGCAAAGGCAUCCAGGCCACGGUUUCUUUCCAAAGUGUUGGCACUGAAACUUCCACCUACCCAGAUUUCCCCUUGGCCUCUACACCAAUAAAGGGCCCAGGACUGGGACCUAGGAAGAGACCUCGACUGGAGUUGGAGGAGGAACAAGGAGAGACUUCAACUGAAUUUGAAGAGACUCUGGAUUCGAGUUACCACCCUGAUGAUUCUGUACUUGCAGAAGAA